RNAcentral lists this ribosomal RNA (527 nucleotides) under uncultured Alphaproteobacteria bacterium. Its description in RNAcentral is "bacterial SSU rRNA". It matches the Rfam family "Bacterial small subunit ribosomal RNA", at positions 355 to 897 of the family's 1533-position model. Lineage: Bacteria; Pseudomonadati; Pseudomonadota; Alphaproteobacteria. The record is from RNAcentral.
UGGGGAAUCUUGGACAAUGGGCGCAAGUCCUGAUCCAGCCAUGCCGCGUGAGUGAUGAAGGCCUUAGGGCUCGUAAAGCUCUUUCGCCAGAGCUGAUAAUGACAGUAUCUGGUAAAGAAACCCCGGCUAACUCCGUGCCAGCAGCCGCGGUAAUACGGAGGGGGUUAGCGUUGUUCGGAAUUACUGGGCGUAAAGCGCGCGUAGGCGGACUANGUCAGUCAGGGGUGAAAUCCCGGGGCUCAACCCCGGAACUGCCUUUGAUACUGCUAGUCUAGAGUUCGAGAGAGGUGAGUGGAAUUCCGAGUGUAGAGGUGAAAUUCGUAGAUAUUCGGAGGAACACCAGUGGCGAAGGCGGCUCACUGGCUCGAUACUGACGCUGAGGUGCGAAAGUGUGGGGAGCAAACAGGAUUAGAUACCCUGGUAGUCCACACCGUAAACGAUGAAUGCCAGUCGUCGGGUAGCAUGCUAUUCGGUGACACACCUAACGGAUUAAGCAUUCCGCCUGGGGAGUACGGUCGCAAGAUUAA